GGAUUGUGGCUCAGUGGCAGAGCGCUUGCCUGGCAUGUGUAAGGCACUGAGUUCAAUCCUCAGCACCA
RNAcentral lists this transfer RNA (68 nucleotides) under Marmota monax (woodchuck). RNAcentral describes it as "tRNA.Ala". The stretch from base 5 to 65 matches the Rfam family "tRNA", at positions 6 to 65 of the family's 71-position model. From Rfam's summary of the family: Transfer RNA (tRNA) molecules are approximately 80 nucleotides in length. Their secondary structure includes four short double-helical elements and three loops (D, anti-codon, and T loops). The record is from RNAcentral. Lineage: Eukaryota; Metazoa; Chordata; Mammalia; Rodentia; Sciuridae.